Molecule: ribosomal RNA, 406 nt
Filed under: uncultured bacterium
Lineage: Bacteria
Description: partial 16S ribosomal RNA
Rfam family: Bacterial small subunit ribosomal RNA
Source: RNAcentral
AUUGAACGCUGGCGGCAGGCCUAACACAUGCAAGUCGAACGAGUGGCGGACGGGUGAGUAAUGUAUGGGAAACUGCCCGAUGGCGGGGGAUAACUACUGGAAACGGUAGCUAAUACCGCAUACCAUCAGAUGUGCCCAGAUGGGAUUAGCUUGUUGGUGGGGUAAAGGCUCACCAAGGCGACGAUCCCUAGCGGGUCUGAGAGGAGGACCAGCCACACUGGAACUGAGACACGGUCCAGACUCCUACGGGAGGCAGCAGUGGGGAAUGUUGCACAAUGGGGGCAAUCCUGAUUCAGCCAUGCCGCGUGUAUGAAGAAGGCCUUCGGGUUGUAAAGUACUUUCGGCGGGGAGGCGUUACCCGCAGAAGAAGCACCGGCUAACUCCGUGCCAGCAGCCGCGGUAAUAC